GCAUUAGUUCGCGUUUCAACGAUCCGCCAGUAUUAUUUAUAUUCGUCGUCUCCGCGGGAGUAGAGCAGGAGUAGAACCGGAGUAGAAACGUUUAUUCGUGGCUCGUCGCGAGCGUGAGUCACGCGAGAUUCGAGUCUUAUUUGUUGGACCGACGUUUUUUAAAAAAAAAAUCAAAGAAAUAGAAAUGAAGAGAGAAUCGGGAGAGGAUAACUCAACACUCUUAGGAGAGGAUGAUUGAAACACGCGAAAAAAGAAACUAGGACCAUUCUCGCUACCAAUCGAAGAGCAGACCAGAAUAUUAGAUGUUCGUAGAAAAUACGUUUCCAAGGUUUGAGAAUGCUUAAAUACCAAUGAUUCAAUCAUGCUGACGCGCUCGAGCCACGAUGAAUCGAACUUUUUUCCAGUAUCGUGACGUUGAUUCAACUAAUCUAUAGACCAGAGAUAAGUUUAAUUCUAUAUGCGUUUGUUUUGUAAGCGCAUCAAGCUCGUUGAAUUAAACUAUUAUAAGUUUCAAGGAUAAUUUCUUAAUAAAUACAAUCUCUCGAUAUUAAACGGAUUUAUGAUCGAUCUUGCCGGUUACAAUCUCAAUAACGAUAAAUCAUAGAGCAAUCGUUUAAACGUUUCUAUUGAUCUGAUUAGAAGAAAGGGAUGAAGAAGAAGAGUAGGAUGAAGAAAAGGCGCGCGGGCCAGUAUGAAAAACCGCGGCAAAUUCGAAAAGGCGAAGUAAGGAACGACAAAAAAAGACAAAAUUUAAACUCACCAUCCUCGUCCGGAUUUGUCACGAUAAGAUGAAACAGCAAAGCCGAACAUAGAAUUGAACUCUUUGCGAUAAAUCGCAUAGUGUUUAGUUUCGACGUUGAAAGCUUCGAUGGUGUUAGGUGGAGAACCAAUGAUAACGAAGAGGAAGACAAGUAAACCGAUAAAUAUUUUCGAAUACAUGUUUUCCAAUUGU
RNAcentral lists this long non-coding RNA (952 nucleotides) under Polistes fuscatus (common paper wasp). Its description in RNAcentral is "uncharacterized LOC122519125". The record is from RNAcentral. Lineage: Eukaryota; Metazoa; Arthropoda; Insecta; Hymenoptera; Vespidae.